RNAcentral lists this transfer RNA (72 nucleotides) under Hyphomicrobium sp. RNAcentral describes it as "tRNA-Gln". It matches the Rfam family "tRNA". From Rfam's summary of the family: Transfer RNA (tRNA) molecules are approximately 80 nucleotides in length. Their secondary structure includes four short double-helical elements and three loops (D, anti-codon, and T loops). Further hydrogen bonds mediate the characteristic L-shaped molecular structure. tRNAs have two regions of fundamental functional importance: the anti-codon, which is responsible for specific mRNA codon recognition, and the 3' end, to which the tRNAs corresponding amino acid is attached (by aminoacyl-tRNA synthetases). tRNAs cope with the degeneracy of the genetic code in two manners: having more than one tRNA (with a specific anti-codon) for a particular amino acid; and 'wobble' base-pairing, i.e. permitting non-standard base-pairing at the 3rd anti-codon position. Lineage: Bacteria; Pseudomonadati; Pseudomonadota; Alphaproteobacteria; Hyphomicrobiales; Hyphomicrobiaceae. RNAcentral also lists the same sequence under 1 other name. The record is from RNAcentral.
UGGGAUGUAGCCAAGUGGUAAGGCAGCGGAUUUUGAUUCCGCCAUUCGGAGGUUCGAACCCUCCCAUCCCAG